GNCGAGCGGCAGCGGNUACUUCGGGAUGCCGGCGAGCGGCGNACGGGUGAGUAAUGCCUAGGAAUCUGCCUGGUAGUGGGGGAUAACUCGGGGAAACUCGAGCUAAUACCGCAUACGUCCUACGGGAGAAAGCGGGGGAUCUUCGGACCUCGCGCUACCAGAUGAGCCUAGGUCGGAUUAGCUAGUUGGUGAGGUAAAGGCUCACCAAGGCGACGAUCCGUAGCUGGUCUGAGAGGAUGAUCAGCCGCACUGGAACUGAGACACGGUCCAGACUCCUACGGGAGGCAGCAGUGGGGAAUAUUGGACAAUGGGCGAAAGCCUGAUCCAGCCAUGCCGCGUGUGUGAAGAAGGUCUUCGGAUUGUAAAGCACUUUAAGUUGGGAGGAAGGGCAGUAAGUUAAUACCUUGCUGUUUCGACGUUACCGACAGAAUAAGCACCGGCUAACUUCGUGCCAGCAGCCGCGGUAAUACGAAGGG
RNAcentral lists this ribosomal RNA (476 nucleotides) under uncultured bacterium. RNAcentral's name for it is "bacterial SSU rRNA". It matches the Rfam family "Bacterial small subunit ribosomal RNA", at positions 61 to 532 of the family's 1533-position model. The record is from RNAcentral.